UACGUAGGGACCGAGCGUUGUCCGGAAUCAUUGGGCGUAAAGAGCGUGUAGGCGGCUUGCUAAGUCUUGCGUGAAAUCUCGGGGCUCAACCCCGAGCGGUCGUGGGAAACUGGCAGGCUAGAGUGCGGGAGAGGAGAAUGGAAUUCCUGGUGUAGCGGUGAAAUGCGCAGAUAUCAGGAGGAACACCAAUUGCGAAGGCAGCUCGCUGGGACGUUACUGACGCUGAGACGCGAAAGCGUGGGGAGCAAACAGG
RNAcentral lists this ribosomal RNA (253 nucleotides) under uncultured bacterium. RNAcentral describes it as "partial 16S ribosomal RNA". It matches the Rfam family "Bacterial small subunit ribosomal RNA", at positions 524 to 776 of the family's 1533-position model. The record is from RNAcentral.